GUCUAGAGCCAUACCACCCUGAACGCGCCUGAUCUCAUCUGAUCUCAGAAGCUAAGCAGGGUCAGGCCUGGUUAGUACUUGGAUGGAAGACCGCCUGGGAAUACUGGGUGCUGUAGGCU
Suncus etruscus (white-toothed pygmy shrew) is the source of this 119-nucleotide ribosomal RNA. The record is from RefSeq and is a predicted model, not a curated record. NCBI's taxonomy places the organism in Eukaryota, Metazoa, Chordata, Mammalia, Eulipotyphla, Soricidae.